AGAGUUUGAUCCUGGCUCAGGACGAACGCUGGCGGCGUGCUUAACACAUGCAAGUCGAGCGGAAAGGCCCUUUCGGGGGUACUCGAGCGGCGAACGGGUGAGUAACACGUGAGUAACCUGCCCUUGGCUUUGGGAUAACCCUCGGAAACGGGGGCUAAUACCGGAUAUUCACUACUUCUCGCAUGGGGGGUGUGGAAAGAUUUUUUGGCUGGGGAUGGGCUCGCGGCCUAUCAGCUUGUUGGUGGGGUGAUGGCCUACCAAGGCGACGACGGGUAGCCGGCCUGAGAGGGCGACCGGCCACACUGGGACUGAGACACGGCCCAGACUCCUACGGGAGGCAGCAGUGGGGAAUAUUGCACAAUGGGCGCAAGCCUGAUGCAGCGACGCCGCGUGAGGGAUGACGGCCUUCGGGUUGUAAACCUCUUUCAGCAGGGACGAAGCGAGAGUGACGGUACCUGCAGAAGAAGCGCCGGCCAACUACGUGCCAGCAGCCGCGGUAAU
This 501-nucleotide ribosomal RNA is filed under the name uncultured soil bacterium. RNAcentral describes it as "bacterial SSU rRNA". It matches the Rfam family "Bacterial small subunit ribosomal RNA", at positions 8 to 524 of the family's 1533-position model. The record is from RNAcentral.